RNAcentral lists this ribosomal RNA (253 nucleotides) under uncultured bacterium. RNAcentral describes it as "partial 16S ribosomal RNA". It matches the Rfam family "Bacterial small subunit ribosomal RNA", at positions 524 to 776 of the family's 1533-position model. The record is from RNAcentral.
GACAGAGGGUGCAAACGUUGCUCGGAAUCACUGGGCGUAAAGAGCGUGUAGGCGGUCCGGUAAGUCCGCUGUGAAAGUCGGGGGCUCAACCCUCGAAUGCCGGUGGAUACUGUCGGGCUAGAGUGCGGAAGAGGCGAGUGGAAUUCCUGGUGUAGCGGUGAAAUGCGCAGAUAUCAGGAGGAACACCAAUUGCGAAGGCAGCUCGCUGGGACGUUACUGACGCUGAGACGCGAAAGCGUGGGGAGCAAACAGG